AUAGUAAAGUGGCGAACGGGUGAGUAACGCGUAAAUAACUUGCCUUGGAGAUUGGGACAACAUUGGGAAACCAGUGCUAAUACCAAAUAAUGCAGCGGGCCCUUCGGGGCAUAGUUGUUAAAGUAGGCUUCGGCUUACACUUCAAGAUAGAUUUGCGUCCGAUUAGUUAGUUGGUAGGGUAAUAGCCUACCAAGACCGAGAUCGGUAGCUGGUCUGAGAGGAUGAUCAGCCACACUGGAAUUGAGAUACGGUCCAGACUCCUACGGGAGGCAGCAGUGAGGAAUUUUGCACAAUGGGCGAAAGCCUGAUGCAGCAACACCGCGUGAUUGAUGAAGUUUUUAGGAAUGUAAAAAUCUGUCGUAAGGGAAGAAAUGUUUCGGAUGUUAAUACCAUCUGUCAUUGACGGUACCUUACAAGAAAGGACCGGCUAACUUCGUG
Molecule: ribosomal RNA, 438 nt
Filed under: uncultured bacterium
Lineage: Bacteria
Description: bacterial SSU rRNA
Rfam family: Bacterial small subunit ribosomal RNA
Source: RNAcentral